CCUACGGGAGGCAGCAGUGAGGAAUAUUGGUCAAUGGCCGGAAGGCUGAACCAGCCAAGCCGCGUGAAGGACGAAGGUGCCAAGCAUUGUAAACUUCUUUUGUCAAGGGACAAAAUCAGGCUCGAGAGCCUGACCGAGGGUACUUGAAGAAAAAGCAUCGGCUAACUCCGUGCCAGCAGCCGCGGUAAUACGGAGGAUGCGAGCGUUAUCCGGAUUUAUUGGGUUUAAAGGGUGCGUAGGCGGACUGUUAAGUCAGCGGUAAAAGCCCGGGGCUCAACCCCGGCGAGCCGUUGAAACUGGCUGUCGUGAGGUGUCGAGAGGUAUGCGGAAUGCGCAGUGUAGCGGUGAAAUGCUUAGAUAUUGCGCAGAACUCCGAUUGCGAAGGCAGCAUACCGGCGGCGAUCGGACGCUGAGGCACGAAAGCGUGGGUAUCGAACAGGAUUAGAUACCCCAGUAGUC
Molecule: ribosomal RNA, 459 nt
Filed under: uncultured bacterium
Lineage: Bacteria
Description: partial 16S ribosomal RNA
Rfam family: Bacterial small subunit ribosomal RNA
Source: RNAcentral